Molecule: transfer RNA, 72 nt
Filed under: Deltaproteobacteria bacterium
Lineage: Bacteria; Pseudomonadati; Myxococcota; Myxococcia
Description: tRNA-Glu
Rfam family: tRNA
About the family: Transfer RNA (tRNA) molecules are approximately 80 nucleotides in length. Their secondary structure includes four short double-helical elements and three loops (D, anti-codon, and T loops).
Source: RNAcentral
GCUCCCAUCGUCUAACGGUUAGGACGUGGGCCUUUCAAGCCCAAAAUAGGGGUUCGAUUCCCCUUGGGAGCG